This 492-nucleotide ribosomal RNA is filed under the name uncultured bacterium. RNAcentral's name for it is "partial 16S ribosomal RNA". It matches the Rfam family "Bacterial small subunit ribosomal RNA", at positions 30 to 507 of the family's 1533-position model. The record is from RNAcentral.
AUUGAACGCUGGCGGCAUGCUUUACACAUGCCAGUCGAACGGUAACGGGCCUUCGGGUGCUGACGAGUGGCGAACGGGUGAGUAAUGCAUCGGAACGUGCCCAGAGGUGGGGGAUAACGCAGCGAAAGCUGUGCUAAUACCGCAUGUGAUCUGAGGAUGAAAGCGGGGGACCAAGCAGCAAUGUUUGGCCUCGCGCCUCUGGAGCGGCCGAUGUCAGAUUAGGUAGUUGGUGGGGUAAAGGCCUACCAAGCCGACGAUCUGUAGCUGGUCUGAGAGGACGACCAGCCACACUGGGACUGAGACACGGCCCAGACUCCUACGGGAGGCAGCAGUGGGGAAUUUUGGACAAUGGGCGCAAGCCUGAUCCAGCAAUGCCGCGUGCGGGAAGAAGGCCUUCGGGUUGUAAACCGCUUUUGUACGGAACGAAAAGGCUCUGGCUAAUACCUGGGGCUGAUGACGGUACCGUAAGAAUAAGCACCGGCUAACUACGUG